AGGCAGCAGUGGGGAAUAUUGGACAAUGGGCGAAAGCCUGAUCCAGCCAUGCCGCGUGUGUGAAGAAGGUCUUCGGAUUGUAAAGCACUUUAAGUUGGGAGGAAGGGCAGUAAGCUAAUACCUUGCUGUUUUGACGUUACCGACAGAAUAAGCACCGGCUAACUCU
RNAcentral lists this ribosomal RNA (166 nucleotides) under uncultured bacterium. RNAcentral describes it as "partial 16S ribosomal RNA". It matches the Rfam family "Bacterial small subunit ribosomal RNA", at positions 346 to 504 of the family's 1533-position model. The record is from RNAcentral.